This 6426-nucleotide long non-coding RNA is filed under the name Populus tremula. RNAcentral describes it as "long non-coding RNA (PTRE_LNC001176)". The record is from RNAcentral. Lineage: Eukaryota; Viridiplantae; Streptophyta; Magnoliopsida; Malpighiales; Salicaceae.
AAUAGCAUCCAUUGUUCAGAAAAAAACAGAGAAAAAAAAAGUGAUCUCAUACGCGUAAAUAGAAACAGAGAUAAUAAUCCUCUGUCUAGCAACUGCCAACAAUCAUAACCCAAAAAUAAGAAAAAAGCCAACAACUGCAAUCCAAUUACCCUUUUAAUGACUUCAAGCAUUGCCUUCUUUUCCAGUGGACGAUAAAACUGCAGUUAGGAUCAGUACAUUCAAGGGCCAAGUCAUCGCAAGGCUCACCACAACUAUCGCAUGCUGCAUAAUCCUCUGUCUUGUCUACCAAAGCAAUAGGGUGAGGGUGUUUCCAAUAUCUGCGAACCCCCCCUGCCUUGACAUAUGGGUAUCUCCCGAGAGCACAUUCAGGAUGAGCAUCGAAGUCGCAUUCCUCACAACGGUAGAACCAGAGCUUCGGGUCUCUAUAUUUUUCACAAAUUAUGCAGGAAGGCUGGUAGUCAUUUUCAUUAAUGUAGGUGAGGAAGAGAGGAUGGUCAUCAUACUCGUGUCUUGCUUUGUAUGGCAGUGUAGCACAUUUCAUACCCAGCUUGAAAUCGCAAACCGCACAUUUCAAAAAUACCUUUGAUUGUUCACUGACACAACAGCCACUGCAAUGGGGAAUAAUCUCUCCGUCAUCUGCAAGAAAAGGGGGAAGCCAGUGACCUUCAAUAUUGCAACGGAGAAUACUCUUUCUGUCCGCUGGAAGAUAAAGGGGAUGCUCAUGACCUCCAUGUUUAAAAGAAUCUUUCAAUAUUGAUUUGAAGCAUCGGACAUCAAUGCAGAGUGUACAUACAUCACAUCUGUAACUGAGCCCAAGAAAACCUUGCUUACACACACUACACGUGUACAUGAACAUCAAUGCAGACUCCACGCAUCCAUGAAAGAAUCAGUUGGUUUUCAUGAUAUUGCCACUUUUUUUGUCUGGGUAAUUCUAUGCAGGUUUUAUCAAGAAAGAAAUUACAACUGGCACAACUAUAAAAUGGAGUUGAGAUUGGUAACAUGCACCCAUCACACUUUAGAUCAUCAUCAACCUUGUCAAUAAGGAUUAGGUUGUGUUGAUGACUGAAAUGUUCGAUCUCUUCAAUUAUUCUCUCUUCUCCAUGCUUGAUCUCACGAACAACGCGAAAGCUAGGUUCCAUGAAUUGAUCAUCAACCGUCACACUUUGCUCUUCUUUGUUUUCUUCUACAAUCUCUGUUGCAGAAUCGCCAUAUUCUCUACUACAAUUCACGUGUGCAACGAAGUCACAGUCUGGGCAAUAGUAAACUCCGUAUUUUGAGUCAACUUCCCGACGGCAAAUACCACAGUACUUGUUUAUAGAUUCGAUGCAUUGUUGAUGUUCAUACGUGUGGAUGAUUUGGGGAUGAUGAUGCAGUGCUGUUUUAAGGGUGAGUGGCAAUGAAAUGCAUUCUUCGUGGACCACGAGUUGGCACAUGGUGCACAUGAAAGGGGAGUCAUCUCCCUCAGGAAGAGGCGGGUAGAAGAUCACGAGGAAAGCUACAGGCUCCUCUAUUUGUGCGGAUGAGAUUCUUCAAGUAUGUGAAUAAGAAGACACUUUCCCAUGUCUUUUCUGGUUGGAGAAGAAGACUCGUUGACUUGAGUUGGGUCUCCUCAACUUCUUAUAUUACUCAUUUGCCCAAGGGUAGCGGUUUAAAAUUGCUUUCUAAACGGUAUUUUUAAUUAAAAAAAAUAUUUAAAAUUAAGUUUUUUAUGUUUUUAAAUAUGUUGAUAUUAAAAAUAAUAUUUAAAAAAUAAAAAUAUUUAUUUUAAUAUUUUUUUCAAAUAAAACAAAUAUUUUUAAAAAUAACUACUUACACCCUCCUAAUCUUUUUCCAAGUAGAGAUACUUAAAAUUAAAAAUCUAAUGAGAAAAUCCUUUAAUUAUUAGAAUCAUAAAUCAAUAAUUACAUGUAUAUAUAAUUAACCUAUUUUAGCUAAAUCUCAAAUAGGUCUUUUUUUCUAUCAUAACGAACUAUAUAAAUUAAUAAAUUUAUAAAUGUUAACUAUACUUAACAGUUUAAUUUUUAUAAUAAAACGAUUUUACUCUUAAUAACCUAGAAAUGUGAAACAAAUACAUAAUUAACUAAAAUUAUGAUAUUUCAUUUAAAUUAACUAAAAUAUUUUAAGCAAAUUGCACAUAACGUAGAAGUUUAAUAUUUUAUGUACUGCCUUUUAUUGAAUAACUUAACUAAAAAUUAAAGAUAUAAUUCAUAUAAUUGAUAUCAGUUAGAUAAGUGUUAUUUUAUAUGCCAAUAUUUCUAUGCAUUUACAAUAAAAUCUAUAACAAAAAUGUAAAAGCAGAAUUUAUGGAGAACUUCCUGCUACGCUAAAAAAAUGGUGGAAGGUCAGACAUCUUUGUCACUACGAAAGCUCAAAGAAACAACAAACUACCUUCACAGUUUUAAUAGAAUAUGAUUGAAGAUGAAAUAGCAUCUGAACAAUAUUGUUCAGAAAAAAAUAGCAUCUUUUAUUGUUCAGAAAAAACAGAGAAACAAAAGAGUGAUCUGAUAUGCGAAAAUAGAAACAGAGAUAAUGAGGAUGAAGCUAACCAUUCACAGUGGAAUAGGGCUACGCCACAAGUAUAGCCAACAAUCCAAUUACCAUAAUGACAUCCUGCAUUCCCAUCUUAUCCUGUGGACGAUAAAACUGCAGUUAGGAUCAGUACAUUCAAGGGCCAAGUCAACGCAAGGCUCACCACAAGUAUCGCAUGCCUGUGGACGAUAAUCCUCUGUCUUGUCGACCAAAGCAAGAGGGUGAGGGUGUUUAGGAUAUGUUAGAACCCCCCCUGCCUUGAUAUAUGGGUAUUUCCCGAGAGCACAUUCUGGAUGAGCAUCGAAGUCGCAUUCUGGAUGAACAUUUCAUCAUGUUCAUUAACUACAAACAAUUAAAUUCAGAUUAAAUAGAUAUAAUUUAUACAUACAUUUGUUUACAUAAUUUUUUUUUUUUAAAAAACCUGUCAUAUAUAUAUAUAUUGGAUUAGUCCAUUUCUUAGUUAAUGGAUCGUGUCCAUAUAAUAAUUUAACAAUGAAUACAAAAUAAAAGAUGAAAAUGAAAAAUAAUAUUAGAAACUAUUAGUCUUAGAGGAGCUAUCUUGAGUGGAGUUAGGAUCUUAAUUCAAAUAUUCAUAUCGAUCCUCUCAUGUUAUUUCAUAUCACAUUUUUCAUGUUUAUUACCCACAAAUUAUUAAAUUAAAAUAAAAAUGACAUCAAUUAUAUAUAAUAAAAAUAAAAAUUUAACUAUUUAUUGUUUAAAACAUGUCAAGUCAAAUUUAUAGUUUAAAUUAAACCCCUGAUUCUUUUAAUUAGUUAAAUUAAAAUUUAAUUACGUCUUCAAGCUCAUUAAUUUUUCAAUUAAACUCUUGAUUUUAUUAAUUAAAAUAAUCUAAAUUUGAGAGCUACUAGUAUUCAAUACUCACCUUCUGAAGUGAAACUCGACCUCUUCACCGACGACGGCUAAUUAAAUAAUUACAGCUGCUUGCUGCUACAUUGCAGAUCAACCAACGAGAUCCAGAACACAGUGAUUUCCUGUUAAGAUCGAAUACUAAAUUAAUCCAGUUUACGAGUUUGGUGAAUUGUUUUUUUUUAAUUAAAUUUGAUAUAUUUUAUUAAUUAUUUUUUUAUAUAUAAUUUAAAAAAAAUUAAGAGAAAAGUCAUGUUAAUGAAAAAUAAAUUUAUUGUUAUAUAAUUAAAUAUAUAUAUUUUUUGUAAAAUUUUCACGUCACAAAAUUAAAUAUCUUAUUAUGUGUCUUUCUCUUACCGUAAUGACUUGAUAUUUAGUUGGCGUAAACAAUUUGUUUUUAACAUUUAAUAAUAUGUAUAAUUCUUGAUUUUUUUUUAUUAAAUACAGGCAUGAAACUUUCGGUUCAUAUUUAAAUUUUUGUUAUGGUAAAAAAAAGUGUUGACAAUACUUGCAUUUAUUUUUUGUGUUAAGAAAAAAACUCUUAAAGCCUGUUUAUUUUUAUGUUUAACAUAUACUUUAAAAAAAUAUAAUUUUUUUUCUUUGCUUUAAUUUUAUUUUUUAUUUUUAUAAUGUUUUUAUAUAUUAAUUUAAAAAUAAAUUUUAAAAAUAAAAAAAUUAUUUAAAUAUAUUUUUAAAUAAAAAAAUAUUACAAAACAAGGUAUUAAUCCAGUCCAACAGAAAGCACGAGUACCGUGACUAGUGGUACGCGUGUUGCUACUUCACGCGUGAUGCUCACUGUUCAAGUGAAUGAAAAUUCAUUUGAACAGUACAAUGUGCUCAUUAUUUAGAGAAUGAAGCAAAGUGGGAGGAGAAAGAUUGCUUACCUGAUCUGCUGGAGGAGAUGAAGACGACGGUGAAGUUGAUGUUAGUCUAUGUGUUUUCUGCUUGCGUUUUUCCUUUUGCUUUCCUUGUCUUUCCGUCUAAGUUUAUUCCUCUGUUUCCUUCUCCCCCUCCUAAUUCUCUCUCUGUUUUUGGUCUCUCUCUCCCUGUAAGUUCCCCUGCUCGUCGUCUCCUCUCUUUAUGCUCACUGUUUUUGUUUUCUUAGCAGCUUUUUAGAUGAUGAAGGAGUUAAGGAGAUGAUGAAUAUAUCAGCUUUCUGUGAAUUUGUUUUGACUGAUUCUGGGUCUUUCUUUGUCUGCAGGGUUGAAGGCAAUGGCAGAGCCAAUACUCGUCUCUGUGUUGCUCCUCUACUUUUCUAUCCUUCUAUUCUCUGUAUAUUUCUAAUCAUGAAGAGAAAAUAAAUGUAUUCGAAUCAUGGUUGUCAGCAUGUGAGCAAGUUUAUCCUCCCGUUAAUUCAAUCUUUUCGGCGUAUUUUGAAAUCCUACAACUUUCGCUUUCCUAUUGACCCCUCUGUGCUUGUGUUUUCUGUCUGUUCAUACUUCAUCUAUGCCGUGUCAUUUAUGUUGCCAUUGUUAGGGCAGUACUUAACCUAAAUAUGCAAGGAAUAUGGGAGAUUCCUCUAAAAGGAUAAACAACCAGCAUUUCACUUUAAUUUCCCUUUAUUAAAUUAUUAUUGAAACUCCCUCUAUUUUUUUUCCUAUUUUCAUAAUUGAUAUGGAUUGCAAGCGACCAAUUACUCCAUGAUUGAAGUUUUCAAGUUUCUUCACUUUUAACAAAAUUGAGUUUGUCAAGUAGAAAAACAAGACGUGAUUAUUUUAGGCCAUUGUUAAAUAAUUUAAAAUCCAAUUAUAUAUAGAUAGAGUUUAUGAUAAUGAGAAGCUAGCCUCCAAAGAUUUAGAGCAAUUGGUGUAAAGUUGUUAAAAUUGGAUGGAACUUGAUAUCAGCCCAAUGAAUUGUAUUAAUGAGUGAAACUAAAGUCCAACUAAUGGAGGGAAAAUAAUGCUAUGAUGUUGAUAGCCUAAGGGGAACUAAUGGAGGAUUUUUUUUUUUAAUAUAUAAACACUAUAAUAUUAUAUUUUAAUUAGACAAUUAUGAUUUUUAUGUUAUAAUUUUACUUAACUCUAAUUUUAUGUGUUUCUAUAUAGAAAUUCUAAACUGUCUCGCCGCUGAAUUAUCUUGUGUAACCAAAUAAUCGAAAGGGACAUGGGCCUCUAAAUCCCUUCUUAAGAAGAUCGAGGCUUAUUCUUUUUUUUUUUAAAGAAAAAUACCAAAAACAUGAAUUAAUACUCUUCAUUAUAUAUCUUAAAGGAAAAGGCUAUCGGAUGCCCUUGAGGUGUUCAUUUUAAAUAUUAUUUAAAUACAUUUAUUUAUAAAAUAUCAGUUAGAUAAGUGUUAUUUUAUAUGACAAUAUUUAUAUGCAUUUACAAUAAAAUCUAUAACAAAAAUGUAAAGGCAGAAUUUAUGGAGAGCUUCCUGCUAAGCAAAAAAAAAUGGUGGAAGGUAACACAUCUUCGUCACUUGCGAAGGGACAAAGAAACAACAAACUACAUUGACAGUUUUAAUGAAAUAGCAUCUUUUAUUGUUCAGAAAAAAAGAGAGAAAAAAAAGAGAUCUGAUAUGCGAAAAUAGAAACAGAGAUAAUAAGUAUGAAGCUAACCAUUCACCCCAACAAUCAUAACCCAAAAAUCAGAAAAAAGCCAACAACUGCAAUCCAAUUACCGUAUUAAUGAAUUAAAGCAUUGCCUUCUUUUCCCGUGGACGAUAAAACUGCAGUUAGGAUCAGUACAUUCAACGGCCAAGUCAUCGCAAGGCUUACCACAAAUAUCGCAUGCCUGUGGACGAUAAUCUCCUGUCUUGUCGACCAAAGCAAGAGGGUGAGGGUGAUUAGGAUACGUGAGAACGCCCCCUAGCUUGACGUAUGGGUAUUUCCCGAGAGCACAUUCUGGAUGAGCAUCGAAGUCGCAUUCCUCACAACGGUAGAACCAGAGCUUGGGGUCUCUAUCUUUUUCACAAAUUAAGCAGGAAGGUUGGUAGUCAUUUUGAUUAAUGUAGGUGAGGAAGAGAGGAUGGUCAUCAUACUCGUGUCUUGCUUUGUAUGGCAGUGUAGCACAUUUCAUACCCAGCUUGAAA